AUUGAACGCUGGCGGCAUGCCUUACACAUGCAAGUCGAACGGUAACAGGUCUUCGGAUGCUGACGAGUGGCGAACGGGUGAGUAAUACAUCGGAACGUGCCUAGUAGUGGGGGAUAACUACUCGAAAGAGUGGCUAAUACCGCAUGAGAUCUACGGAUGAAAGCAGGGGAUCGCAAGACCUUGUGCUACUAGAGCGGCCGAUGGCAGAUUAGGCAGUUGGUGGGAUAAAAGCUUACCAAGCCGACGAUCUGUAGCUGGUCUGAGAGGACGAUCAGCCACACUGGGACUGAGACACGGCCCAGACUCCUACGGGAGGCAGCAGUGGGGAAUUUUGGACAAUGGGCGAAAGCCUGAUCCAGCAAUGCCGCGUGCAGGAUGAAGGCCUUCGGGUUGUAAACUGCUUUUGUACGGAGCGAAAAGCCCCGGGUUAAUACCCUGGGGUCAUGACGGUACCGUAAGAAUAAGCACCGGCUAACUAUGUGCCAGCCGCCGCGGUAA
RNAcentral lists this ribosomal RNA (498 nucleotides) under uncultured bacterium. RNAcentral's name for it is "partial 16S ribosomal RNA". It matches the Rfam family "Bacterial small subunit ribosomal RNA", at positions 30 to 523 of the family's 1533-position model. The record is from RNAcentral.